Molecule: ribosomal RNA, 227 nt
Filed under: uncultured bacterium
Lineage: Bacteria
Description: partial 16S ribosomal RNA
Rfam family: Bacterial small subunit ribosomal RNA
Source: RNAcentral
AGUAACGCGUGAGGAACCUGCCUCAAAGAGGGGGACAACAGUUGGAAACGACUGCUAAUACCGCAUAAGCCCACGGCUCGGCAUCGAGCAGAGGGAAAAGGAGUGAUCCGCUUUGAGAUGGCCUCGCGUCCGAUUAGCUAGUUGGUGAGGUAACGGCCCACCAAGGCGACGAUCAGUAGCCGACCUGAGAGGGUGACCGGCCACAUUGGGACUGAGACACGGCCCAG